CUUGUUACCGGUUGGCAUAAUAAUUUUACCACUACAUAAAUAUUUCUUGCCGAUACGGUGAAACUUCAAUUCUUUUGCAUACCUGCAAUUGUAUUCCUUAUAAAUAUGUACCAUGUGAAUACUGAUACUGAUGUUAGUCGUGAAUACUAGUUGGGAUUAUUCUAACACUUGAUUUAAAGGAGUGCGAACUUGCAGCACGUGUAAUAAAGUAGCGGAAGCAACGUGCUUACACGUGACUUCGUCGCCGUAGCUAGAUCUGCUUCUGCUGAUUCGUACCUACUUUUAGGCGUCCUGUUUCGAUUUGCCGAUUUCGAAUCAUCACAUAGGGUGAUUUAUGGGAACAAUAAAAAUGGUCUUUAUUCUGGUCAAUAAAGUUUUUCGCAAUGCAUUAAAAUGGUUACCAGUUCUACACACUUGAGCAAGACCCCAGAAGGUCAAAGGUACCAUGGAUGAAGCAUCGUUGGAAAGGUACGUUAAGAAAAUAGGUAGAUACACUCUUAGAACUGUGGUAAUAAAAGUGCAUACUCGUUUAUUACCGAACGGUUGGUAAAUAUAGACUAUCCCGUAGCAGUAAUAAAAUUGUUUACCAAAAUUCAUUAUAAUGAAAAAACUUUAUUUCUUAUUGUGUGGUAUUAUCGGGAAAACCAAAGCGGUAAUAUAAAAUUACCAAGUAAUGUUAAUUUAACACUGCAUUGAGGAAUAUGAUUAAUACUGCCUCGCAUUAAAUCUUUUCGUUUAAUGGGUAAUAAGUUAAAACUCUAAUGCGGUGUAGUUUUAAUACUACUCCGGUAAAUAUCUUUUGCAAACUCGACCCCGCAACAUUCAAAAGCACUGGGACUCGCUCUCAGAAAAUUUGUUCGUUUAGAAUUCCUUUCAAGCUGGUUCUUAAAGGUAAAUCUAAAGGUAAUUAGAUUAAUGCUAAUUAAUUUGUUGAUGCCAAAGUGUAACUUAUUCAUUUUUAAAUGUACAUAAAUUUCAUUUUUAGUCACUGCAAAGUUUGCUGCCAAACUGAUCGAGCUACAAAUGGGAUUCAUCAGUAAUUCAAGAUCAGAAGUCAUUUGCUGAAACUAUUGUUGAGAUCUUGCCAUUUUGGACAUCUCCAGGGACUGCUCUUGGAAUUGUAAAUUUUAAGUUGAAGGUACUAUUUUAAAUAGUCUAUUUAUGAAAU
Long non-coding RNA from Folsomia candida, 1168 nucleotides. RefSeq lists it as uncharacterized. NCBI's taxonomy places the organism in Eukaryota, Metazoa, Arthropoda, Collembola, Entomobryomorpha, Isotomidae. The transcript is spliced from 3 exons. The record is from RefSeq and is a predicted model, not a curated record.